GAUGAAGAACGUGGCGAAAUGCGAUACGUAAUGUGAAUUGCAGAAUUCAGUGAAUCAUCGAGUCUUUGAACGCACAUUGCGCCCCCUGGUAUUCCGGGGGGCAUGCCUGUCCGAGCGUCAUUGCUGCCCUCAAGCACGGCUUGUGUGUUGGGCCUCCGUCCUCCUCCCGGGGGACGGGCCCGAAAGGCAGCGGCGGCACCGCGUCCAGUCCUCGAGCGUAUGGGGCUUCGUCACCCGCUCUUGUAGGCCCGGCCGGCGCUUGCCGACACAUCAAUCUUUUUUCCAGGUUGACCUCGGAUCAGGUAGGGAUACCCGCUGAACUUAAGCAUAUCAAUAAGCGGAGGA
This 345-nucleotide unclassified non-coding RNA is filed under the name soil metagenome. RNAcentral's name for it is "partial contains 5.8S ribosomal RNA, internal transcribed spacer 2, and large subunit ribosomal RNA". The stretch from base 1 to 120 matches the Rfam family "5.8S ribosomal RNA", at positions 35 to 154 of the family's 154-position model. The record is from RNAcentral.